Molecule: long non-coding RNA, 879 nt
Organism: Mercurialis annua (annual mercury)
Lineage: Eukaryota; Viridiplantae; Streptophyta; Magnoliopsida; Malpighiales; Euphorbiaceae
Exons: 2
Source: RefSeq, a predicted model, not a curated record
UUCUGGACAUGGCCAUGGAUUCUUAAUUGGGGUUUUUUCAUAAAUCCCCUAAAAAUGGCAUGGUGUUAUGUUUUUACCUCACAAUAUUAGUUUUAGCAAUAAUCUCUCAAAAAAAUAAAAAACUUUACACAAAUUCCUCAUAACCCAAAAUUAACUCAAAUUAAGAAAAAAUAUGACACUUAUAACCCUCCACCUACUACUUCUUCUUCUCCAUUUCUCAUAACUACCAUUAUUGUCAGAAUCCCACCGCUUCUCUCCUCGAGAUCGUCCUGGGUGCUGCUUCUUGGCUACGUAAUGCAUCGGUGUCGCUGUAUAUUCCUCCUCAUAUGUUCACUGAUUCUCCUCCUCUUCCCUUGCUCUACUUCCCUUAUUCUCUGAGCUUUAGAAUUUUGAUCAAUUGAGACUUGUUGGAUCUGUUGCUAUUGGUGAAGUUUUCUUCAAGAAUCUAAGAAGAGGAAAUUUGAGUUGCAAUCAGAGUUAUCACAAGUAAAAAGGAAUGGAAGGUUGUUGGAGCUUGAAACAAAAAAAGAAGUUAAUGAGCUAUAUGAAAGAAUUGAGAUUUUGGAGUUUGAAAAAGGUGUUCUGUGUGAGCAAGUGGUAGAAAUGUGUUUGAGUUCAAGGAAAAAGAAUGGUGGAGAGGGUAGUUAUAAUGGUUUGAUGGAGAAUUUAGAAAUGGAAGUUAUUGAUUGAAUAAAAAAUUGCAGAUGAAAAAAAUGAAUUUUCUUGUAAAAUAUCUUAUUCGGAGACUCAACUGGCUUCUUUUGCUAAGGCUUCUCAAAAAUUGCAGAAGGAUUCCUCAAUUAGUUUGGUACAUUCAAGUUUGUGUAAAUAUUCUGUAAUUUUUUUUUUAAAUGGAAAUAAAAUAAAAUUUUCUUUGUA